GUACUUGUCAAGUUGAUGCAUGAGUCAAGAUGGGAUUGACCCCUCCGAAUUAGUAGGAGUUAAUGUAUCAAUGUAUUUCAAUUUAGUAAAUCUUGAGCCUGAAUAAUCCAGAUGAUGGAUUUGAAAGUUUAAAAUAUAAUAUGGAUGACUUAUCUAGGAUUAACAGUUAAAUCCUAGACCGUUCUCGAGUAUUAGGAUCAAAGGGAUGAAUUAUACGGUAAUCAUACGCCAAU
This 233-nucleotide long non-coding RNA is filed under the name Elaeis guineensis (African oil palm). RNAcentral describes it as "long non-coding RNA (EGUI_LNC054211)". Lineage: Eukaryota; Viridiplantae; Streptophyta; Magnoliopsida; Arecales; Arecaceae. The record is from RNAcentral.